This 393-nucleotide ribosomal RNA is filed under the name uncultured bacterium. Its description in RNAcentral is "partial 16S ribosomal RNA". It matches the Rfam family "Bacterial small subunit ribosomal RNA", at positions 523 to 918 of the family's 1533-position model. The record is from RNAcentral.
AUACGUAGGUGACAAGCGUUAUCCGGAUUUACUGGGCGUAAAGGGCGUGUAGGCGGUCUUGCAAGUCAGAAGUGAAAUUCCUGAGCUCAACUCGGGCGCUGCUUCUGAAACUGCAGGACUUGAGUGCUGGAGGGGAUAGCGGAAUUCCUAGUGGAGCGGUAAAAUGCGCAGAUAUUAGGAAGAACACCGGUGGCGAAGGCGGCUAUCUGGACAGUAACUGACGCUGAGGCACGAAAGCGUGGGGAGCAAACAGGAUUAGAUACCCUGGUAGUCCACGCUAUAAACGAUGAGUGCUAGGUGUCGGGGGUCAAACCUCGGUGCCGCAGUUAACACAUUAAGCACUCCGCCUGGGGAGUACGGCCGCAAGGCUGAAACUUAAAGGAAUUGACGGGG